Molecule: ribosomal RNA, 236 nt
Filed under: uncultured bacterium
Lineage: Bacteria
Description: partial 16S ribosomal RNA
Rfam family: Bacterial small subunit ribosomal RNA
Source: RNAcentral
CCGGCACGGGUGAGUAACACGUAUCCAACCUGCCGUCUACUCUUGGACAGCCUUCUGAAAGGAAGAUUAAUACAAGAUGGCAUCAUGAUCCGCAUGUUCACAUGAUUAAAGGUAUUCCGGUAGACGAUGGGGAUGCGUUCCAUUAGAUAGUAGGCGGGGUAACGGCCCACCUAGUCUUCGAUGGAUAGGGGUUCUGAGAGGAAGGUCCCCCACAUUGGAACUGAGACACGGUCCAA